RNAcentral lists this ribosomal RNA (432 nucleotides) under uncultured bacterium. Its description in RNAcentral is "partial 16S ribosomal RNA". It matches the Rfam family "Bacterial small subunit ribosomal RNA", at positions 28 to 507 of the family's 1533-position model. The record is from RNAcentral.
GAUGAACGCUGGCGGUAUGCUUAACACAUGCAAGUCGAACGGUCACUUCGGUGAUAGUGGCGGACGGGUGAGUAACGCGUGAGAAUCUGUCUUCAGGUCGGGGACAACAGUUAGAAAUGACUGCUAAUACCGGAUGUGCCUUUGGGUGAAAGAUUUAUUGCCUGAAAUAGAGCUCGCGUCAGAUUAGCUAGUAGGUGGUGUAAGAGACUACCUAGGCUCCGAUCUGUAGCUGGUCUGAGAGGACGAUCAGCCACACUGGAACUGAGACACGGUCCAGACUCCUACGGGAGGCAGCAGUGGGGAAUUUUCCGCAAUGGGCGAAAGCCUGACGGAGCAAUACCGCGUGAGGGACGAAGGCUUUUGGGUCGUAAACCUCUUUUCUCAAGGAAGAUGAUGACGGUACUUGAGGAAUAAGCAUCGGCUAACCCUGUG